RNAcentral lists this long non-coding RNA (687 nucleotides) under Ornithorhynchus anatinus (platypus). RNAcentral's name for it is "lncRNA (ENSOANG00000032921.2)". Lineage: Eukaryota; Metazoa; Chordata; Mammalia; Monotremata; Ornithorhynchidae. The record is from RNAcentral.
CCAAGCCAUCUGGACCCCAAGUAGCAAGCCGGCUGACCGAUCCUCCCUUUGCGGUCCCGUCUUGGGCCCCGAGCUGGUUUGGACCCUCGACCUCUUCUCCCCCACAGUGAACAAGAGCAGUCGACGUCGGGGGAAGGCGGAGGAGACCGCGGACUCCGGGCCCCCGGCGGAAGAUGCUCCUUACCCUCCUGCCCCGACGGCAACUCACCCCAAAGCGGCGGGGGGCCCAGAGAAGAGCAGAGCACGAAGGGAUCCCAGGCCUGGAAGUUACCACCCAUCUCGGAAGGAUCGCCGCGAGUCCGGAAUCCCCCCAGGAGUCCGUUUCGAGACGGAGAACCUCCCCGGGAGCUCUUGACUUUUCCGCUGGUCGUUCGGUUCCACUCUCAGCAUUCCGCCCAGGAGGAGAAGGCCAAAGGAGGACCUCCGCGUGCGUUGCCCGAACCUCACGCUGCCAAAGGCCCCAGGGCCCCCCCUCCCUGCCCAACGCUCCCAGCUCGGGCUCCAGGACAUCGGCGGGACCCGCCCCAGCACGAGGACUCACCUGGCCCCCAAGGUAAUUCAUUCGUUCGAUGGUAUUCAUUGAGCGCUUACUUUAUCGGAAUGGACAACUGGGCAACAGAUAGAGACCAUCCCUGCCCAAUGACGGGCUCACGGUCUCAUCCGGGGAGGCAGACGGACAAAAACAAC